UAAGGAAUAUUGGUCAAUGGACGGAAGUCUGAACCAGCCAUGCCGCGUGCAGGAAGAAGGCGCUCUGCGUUGUAAACUGCUUUUAUAUGGGAAGAAUAGGCGCGAUUUAUCGUGUUGUGACGGUACCAUAGGAAUAAGCACCGGCUAACUCCGUGCCAGCAGCCGCGGUAAUACGGAGGGUGCAAGCGUUAUCCGGAAUCACUGGGUUUAAAGGGUGCGUAGGCGGUUUGAUAAGUCAGAGGUGAAAGGU
This 250-nucleotide ribosomal RNA is filed under the name uncultured bacterium. Its description in RNAcentral is "partial 16S ribosomal RNA". It matches the Rfam family "Bacterial small subunit ribosomal RNA", at positions 355 to 602 of the family's 1533-position model. The record is from RNAcentral.